RNAcentral lists this ribosomal RNA (492 nucleotides) under uncultured bacterium. RNAcentral's name for it is "partial 16S ribosomal RNA". It matches the Rfam family "Bacterial small subunit ribosomal RNA", at positions 29 to 507 of the family's 1533-position model. The record is from RNAcentral.
AGUGAACGCUGGCGGUAGGCCUAACACAUGCAAGUCGAACGGCAGCACAGUAAGAGCUUGCUCUUACGGGUGGCGAGUGGCGGACGGGUGAGGAAUACAUCGGAAUCUACUUUUUCGUGGGGGAUAACGUAGGGAAACUUACGCUAAUACCGCAUACGGCCUACGGGUGAAAGCAGGGGAUCUUCGGACCUUGCGCGAUUGAAUGAGCCGAUGUCGGAUUAGCUAGUUGGCGGGGUAAAGGCCCACCAAGGCGACGAUCCGUAGCUGGUCUGAGAGGAUGAUCAGCCACACUGGAACUGAGACACGGUCCAGACUCCUACGGAAGGCAGCAGUGGGGAAUAUUGGACAAUGGGCGCAAGCCUGAUCCAGCCAUACCGCGUGGGUGAAGAAGGCCUUCGGGUUGUAAAGCCCUUUUGUUGGGAAAGAAAAGCAGCAGGUUAAUACCCCGCUGUUCUGACGGUACCCAAAGAAUAAGCACCGGCUAACUUCGUG